GCCUGGGUGGCUCAGUUGGUUAAGCGUCUGACUUUGGCUCAGGUCAUGAUCUCACACAGUUUGUGAGUUCAAGCCCCGCGUCAGGCU
Felis catus (domestic cat) is the source of this 87-nucleotide transfer RNA. It matches the Rfam family "tRNA". From Rfam's summary of the family: Transfer RNA (tRNA) molecules are approximately 80 nucleotides in length. Their secondary structure includes four short double-helical elements and three loops (D, anti-codon, and T loops). The record is from Rfam. Lineage: Eukaryota; Metazoa; Chordata; Mammalia; Carnivora; Felidae.